UCUUGGUCAUUUAGAGGAAGUAAAAGUCGUAACAAGGUUUCCGUAGGUGAACCUGCGGAAGGAUCAUUAUAGAGAGCUUCGGCUCCCUGUAUGCUAUUACCACAAUGUUAUUCAAUUCUAUGUUGCUUCCACUGCCUGUAUGGUGGUGGGGGGUUUUUCAUACUAUUCUUUUUGCUUAGACCUUUAAUCUGUCUGAAUAUGGGAAAUUAUUACAAAACUUUCAACAACGGAUCUCUUGGCUCCUGCAUCGAUGAAGAACGCAGCGAAAUGCGAUAAUUAAUGUGAAUUGCAGAAUUCCGUGAAUCAUCGAGUCUUUGAACGCACAUUGCGCCUCAUGGUAUUCUGUGAGGCAUGCCCAUCUCAGCGUCAGUAGAUAUUAUCAAAUUUUGACAUUGUCAUUAUUUGGAUCAGGUCGAGGAAGCUAUUAUUACUAUUAAUGUGGAUAGCUCCUUGGAAAUUCAUAGGUCUUCAAGUUGCUAUCAUUAGAACGUGAUGAAAAUUCCUUCGUUCAUAUGUAGUUCCCUUGUAUAGUCCUAAAACACAUAUACCUUUAUGGUAUUUUUUCAAUUUGACCUGAGAUC
RNAcentral lists this ribosomal RNA (581 nucleotides) under uncultured Hydnobolites. Its description in RNAcentral is "eukaryotic LSU rRNA". The stretch from base 216 to 369 matches the Rfam family "5.8S ribosomal RNA". The record is from RNAcentral. Lineage: Eukaryota; Fungi; Ascomycota; Pezizomycetes; Pezizales; Pezizaceae.